AGAUGAAGCCCUGCGCCCCCCGGAGCCCAGCCCUGUUCACCGCGUGCUGUGCGGGUGCCUGUGCCAGGAUCAGCUGACUGGACGGCUAUAGCCCCACGCCUGCAGGCCACAUACCUGGGAGAGUGUGGGCCUUCCGAGCCUUCUGGCUCCCGGCCCCACAGAGGAAUUACGGUCCCAUGUCCCUCACAAGGACCCUUGCAGAGGGAGCAGCCGGGCUGAGGCUGCGGGUCCCUUGUGGCCGCCAGGUGCUCACGCGUGCCUCGGUGGGGAUCUGGCAGCCAGAUUUGGGGUGAGGAUUUGAUGAUGUGGGUAUCCCUAGCUGGUCCCACAGUGACGAUGGGUGUUGCGUUGUGAGCAUGUAAAACGGCAGUGACGUCUGAGGGUCCCUGGACGUCUUUCGCACCCAGCCUCAAAGCGGAGCCUUUCCAGGCAGAGCAGCAGCUGCCGCCACUGGAUUGACAGCCCCAGAGCAGUGGGAUCAGGCCACGCGGACGAGGAGGGCCCCUUGGCCUCAGAAGGCCCCCAUGUGCCAGCUCAGACUGGAGUUGCCUCAGUUGACACAGCAGGCCCCAUCCAGACAGACCAGCUUCUGGAGACAAGAGCAAAGCCUUUUCCGGCAGCCCGAAACCUGGGAUAAGAAACGACAGGUGGAAGGUUGUCCAGAGACACCUACAGCGUGGAUGCUGUUCCGAGUCAGCGUAGGAGAAGGGCCACUGGAAACCAGAGUCACACUGCGCGUCUGUGCAUCUCUGGCCCACCGCAGUGGCCCCGGCUGUCUGCACAUUUUUUGUAGACACAUUAGAGUCGGUUGAGGCCACACCUGCGGCCACAGACUGCGACCGCGAUUGCAGGGAGGAGCAUCUGAGGUGGUCACGGGGUUUGCCCAGCUCACACCAACUGCAGCCUGGGGGCCUAGGGCCUGCUUCUCAGAGCAUCACGGGGCCCAGCAAGAAGUGCCCCCUGGGAGGUGACAGCGUCUUCCAGAAAUGCCGCCGCCCACAAGGAGGACUGGCCUGUGCCGGAAGCUGGAGAUGGUGGGGUCCCGAUGGCACCUGCCGCGGCGAGUCCUUUGCACAUGUUGGCAACACACGCGUCCGCAUCGGCCUCCCUGCCCACAAAGCGCCACAACGGUGACCAACCAGAGCAGCCGGAGCUGAAGCGGAUCAAGACAGAAGACGGCGAGGGCAUCGUCAUUGCCCUGAGUGUGGACACGCCACCGGCAGCCGUAAGGGAAAAGGGUGUCCAGAACUAGCGACUGGGAGAGCUUUUCUUUAACAAUAUCAACUCUGUGGUGCCAAAAGGAGACGCGGCCUCCCGCCAGCACUUGGGGGUGCAGGGCCCUGUGGUUGGACUUCACCUCUCAGCACUGAAAACAGAAAACCCAGCUGGCCUUAACACUCCUUAAAGACAGAAGUCACACUUGAACAAAACCCACACACAACAAAACCUGAUUUGGGAGACGGUGUCUCCACUGAGCACCUGCUGGGCUGAGCUUCUACCUACAAGUGAAACUCUGUCCUCCCGCGAGGACCAGGCAUCGCUGUGUGAGGACGGCACGGCCAGCGCCUGCUGUGAGUGGGUCUCCCAAGACUAGGCCUCAGGACGCGGGGGGAGCCGUCCCCGCCGCCCUCACAGGACCCACCAGGCAGCGGAGACAUGUGGAAUUAGAGUAUUUUGAGGUGUCCUUUCUUUACAAAAUAAUGGGGUCUUGGGCAUUUCACAUCACUCCAUUUCUACUCAGACUUUCGGAAUCACACAGGCCCUUUCCGUGGAUUUCAUUUGGGGCAAAGAAACAACGUAGUUUUGUUUUUGUUUUCAGCCUAUGGAAUGAUUUCCUUUUGUCUGUCUUGUUCGAGUUCAGACGAAGCUACUCUGGCAUCUGCACAUUUCCGUGUUACAGCAGCUGCCUGAUGAAUUUUAUCCACCUCCAUUUCAGCAUGUGGCUCGCGUGGACAGGUGGACGGACGCUGUGGCCGCAUGGAACCUUGAGAACCCAGGGACGAGCCAGUGCCGGGAAGGAACUGCCGGGACUCACCGAGCUGCGCUUCACUGUUCUCUUUCUGGCUGUUUUCUGUUGCUUGUUUCUUUGUGUUGACUUUGUCCCUGGCAAAAUUUUCCACUCUGAGUAAAACAAGUCUCCUAAGUAUUGUGUAUGUUU
This 2158-nucleotide small RNA is filed under the name Pan troglodytes (chimpanzee). RNAcentral's name for it is "processed transcript". Lineage: Eukaryota; Metazoa; Chordata; Mammalia; Primates; Hominidae. The record is from RNAcentral.